RNAcentral lists this ribosomal RNA (440 nucleotides) under uncultured bacterium. Its description in RNAcentral is "partial 16S ribosomal RNA". It matches the Rfam family "Bacterial small subunit ribosomal RNA", at positions 339 to 795 of the family's 1533-position model. The record is from RNAcentral.
CUACGGGGUGCAGCAGUAGGGAAUCUUAGACAAUGGGGGAAACCCUGAUCUAGCCAUGCCGCGUGAGUGAUGAAGGCCUUAGGGUUGUAAAGCUCUUUCGCUGGGGAAGAUAAUGACGGUACCCAGUAAAGAAACCCCGGCUAACUCCGUGCCAGCAGCCGCGGUAAUACGGAGGGGGCUAGCGUUGUGUCGGAAUUACUGGGCGUAAAGCGCGCGUAGGCGGGCUAUUAAGUCAGGGGUGAAAUCCCGGGGCUCAACCCCGGAACUGCCUUUGAUACUGGUAGUCUUGAGUUCGAGAGAGGUGAGUGGAAUUCCGAGUGUAGAGGUGAAAUUCGUAGAUAUUCGGAGGAACAUCAGUGGCGAAGGCGACUCACUGGCUCGAUACUGACGCUGAGGUGCGAAAGUGUGGGGAGCAAACAGGAUUAGAUACCCGAGUAGUC